Molecule: ribosomal RNA, 436 nt
Filed under: uncultured Chloroflexaceae bacterium
Lineage: Bacteria; Bacillati; Chloroflexota; Chloroflexia; Chloroflexales; Chloroflexaceae
Description: bacterial SSU rRNA
Rfam family: Bacterial small subunit ribosomal RNA
Source: RNAcentral
CGCGGCGGCGCGCUUAAUGCAUGCAAGUCGAACGUGCCUUCGGGCAAGUGGCAGACGGNUGAGUAACGCGUGAGUAACACACCCUUCGGUGGGGUAUAGCCUCGGGAAACUGAGGGUAAUCCCGCAUACGAUCCCAGUGCUUUGGUGUUGGGAUGAAAGCCUUCGGGCGCCGGAGGAGUGGCUCGCGUCCUAUCAGGUAGUUGGUGGGGUAACGGCUCACCAAGCCGAUGACGGGUAGCUGGUCUUAGAGGACGAUCAGCCAGAGGGGGACUGAGACACGGCCCCCACUCCUACGGGAGGCAGCAGCAGGGAAUUUUGGGCAAUGGACGAAAGUCUGACCCAGCGACGUCGCGUGGGGGAUGAAGGCUCUAGGGCUGUAAACCCCUUUUCCGAGGGAAGAGGAAGGACGGUACCUCGGGAAAAGUCCGGCUAACUA